AGUAAGAUAAGCUAAAUAAGCUUUUGGGCCCAUACCCCAAGAAUGUAGGUGAAACCCCUUCUCUCACUA
This 69-nucleotide transfer RNA is filed under the name Chilodus punctatus (spotted headstander). RNAcentral describes it as "tRNA-Met". Lineage: Eukaryota; Metazoa; Chordata; Actinopteri; Characiformes; Chilodontidae. The record is from RNAcentral.